This is a long non-coding RNA of Asparagus officinalis (garden asparagus), 805 nucleotides long. RefSeq lists it as uncharacterized. Lineage: Eukaryota; Viridiplantae; Streptophyta; Magnoliopsida; Asparagales; Asparagaceae. The record is from RefSeq and is a predicted model, not a curated record. The transcript has 5 exons.
UCAAAUGGAAAGGGCAUCCUCUCAGUCAAUAGCAUUUCAGCAUCCAUUGCGUGCUCCUAUGGAAUCUAGAGCUCCAGUUCCUGGACGGGGUUAUCCUCAACAGUUACCGUACCAACAUGAUGUUCCCGCUCAUAGUUGUUGGAGACCAUCUUAAAGUUAUUUGUACAUAUUUCCUUGGAGCUAUGUCAACGACAAUAGUGUGUAUCCUUUGCUUGGUAAUAUGAUGUGGAAGUUGAAGAUUCGGAUUUUAGAUUCACAUGGUCUUGUGCUUCUGGAUGACCUACAAAUGUGCAGUUUUCAUAGUGGUGAUGAGAUCUGGUUUAGUCUUUUGGCAGGACUUUGUACAUUGUAAUUUUUGUCUUGACAACUGUGUCUAGAAGACUAAUCACUGCUAAAUGUAAUCUCAAGAUAAAUGUAUUCUAAACUUAUGCUGGAAGAUUUUAGUUUGGAGCCUUCAGGACGAACUAAUAGGAUGUGGGUAACUGAGAGCAUCUGAGGGUAUACGCUGUUGAUCAUGAUCUAACCUUGACCAAGGCCGAGGGAAGUCAUUCAUUUAUUUAUCAGGUGAUGUCAUCAAUAGUGAUAGGGGACGGAUACUGAUAUACUUAGCUACGCGAAAUUGAGCUUGGGGGUUUCGUGUGAUAUGGGAAGCAAAUGGGCUUUUUUUUUUAUAUAACUGAAACUUGUAUUCUGAUUUUCAGAGAUAAUGUUCACUCCAAUUCCUACAUUUCUUGUUAAGUUGCUCGUUCGAGUAAAUUAUCUUUUCAGUUAUUGGCUUGUAAAUGCUUAGUGUUAUAAAUUUCAG